GAUGAACGCUGGCGGCGUGCCUAAUACAUGCAAGUCGAGCGAACGGACGAGAAGCUUGCUUCUCUGAUGUUAGCGGCGGACGGGUGAGUAACACGUGGAUAACCUACCUAUAAGACUGGGAUAACUUCGGGAAACCGGAGCUACUACCGGAUAAUAUUUUGAACCGCAUGGUUCAAAAGUGAAAGACGGUCUUGCUAUCACUUAUAGAUGGAUCCGCGCUGCAUUAGCUAGUUGGUAAGGUAACGGCUUACCAAGGCAACGAUGCAUAGCCGACCUGAGAGGGUGAUCGGCCACACUGGAACUGAGACACGGUCCAGACUCCUACGGGAGGCAGCAGUAGGGAAUCUUCCGCAAUGGGCGCAAGCCUGACGGAGCCACGCCGCGUGAGUGAUGAAGGUCUUCGGAUCGUAAAACUCUGUUAUUAGGGAAGAACAUAUGUGUAAGUAACUGUGCACAUCUUGACGGUACCUAAUCAGAAAGCCACGGCUAACUACGUG
Molecule: ribosomal RNA, 497 nt
Filed under: uncultured bacterium
Lineage: Bacteria
Description: partial 16S ribosomal RNA
Rfam family: Bacterial small subunit ribosomal RNA
Source: RNAcentral